RNAcentral lists this ribosomal RNA (1011 nucleotides) under Triticum aestivum (bread wheat). RNAcentral's name for it is "partial small subunit ribosomal RNA". The record is from RNAcentral. Lineage: Eukaryota; Viridiplantae; Streptophyta; Magnoliopsida; Poales; Poaceae.
AUGUCUCUGUCGUCCAGUCCAUGCUGGAGCGACGACUACAGGCCGGGGCAUAAUCCAGCAGCUAUCAAGAUCGUUACUUAUCCGUUCCCAGAGGUGGACGACCUCCCGAAGGGUGUCGAGAACCUCGGAAAGGCAUCCACACCGGCUGAAUCAUUGCGCAUCAACCUCGCUGCCCUAAGCGAUGCCCUGAUGCGCCCGCCACAGGAGACGCUCAUCCGGGCGCUGUCCCCGGACGCGAUCUUCACCGACAUGCACUUCACCUGGAGCUCCGAUAUCGCUAACGAGCUCGGUGUGCCAUGUGUCGCGUUCAAUGUCAUGGGCGCCUUCCCCAUGCUCGUCGUGCACCACCUUAUCAUCGAUGACGUUGCCGUCGACGAUAAUGAUGUCACAACAGUCCCUCGGUUUCCGUUCCCUCAUAUACGGACCCCGAGGACCGAGCUGCCGGACAUCUUGAGGAGUCGAAACUAUGACGCCGGCAACAUGGUUCAUUCGAUGCAAGCCGACUGCUUUGGCGUCGCCAUCAAUACAUUUUCGGACCUGGAGCGGCGGUACUGCAAGAUGUACGUGCGCGAAGGGUACGUGAAGCGCGCAUACUUUUUAGGGCCUCUCUCGCUGCAACUGCAACAGUCGUCACGGGCCGCCAAAGGUGUUGCCGACUCACGGUUCAUCGACUGGCUUGGCACAAAGCCUAACCGUUCUGUGGUCUACUUGUCCUUCGGCACAUGUGCCCACAUAUCGGAUGCGCAGCUGGACGAGCUUGCUCUUGGGCUGGAGGCCUCAAGACGGUCGUUCAUGUGGGUGGUCAGGGCGGCCGAGAAGUGGGAUCCACCGAAAGGGUGGGAGAAGCGUGUUGGAGACCGGGGGCUCAUCGUCAGAGUGUGGGCCCCACAAAUGGCUAUACUAGCGCACUCGGCAGUGGGUGCAUUCGGGAUGCAGUGUGGGUGGAACUCUGUCCUAGAGGCAGUGGCAGCUGGCGUGCCGAUGCUCACAUGGCCAAAGGUGUACGAGUAG